Molecule: ribosomal RNA, 450 nt
Filed under: uncultured bacterium
Lineage: Bacteria
Description: partial 16S ribosomal RNA
Rfam family: Bacterial small subunit ribosomal RNA
Source: RNAcentral
GUGGGGAAUCUUCCGCAAUGGACGAAAGUCUGACGGAGCAACGCCGCGUGAGUGAUGAAGGUCUUCGGAUUGUAAAGCUCUGUUAAUCGGGACGAAAGAGCCUAGUGUGAAUAAUGCUAGGAAGUGACGGUACCGGAAUAGAAAGCCACGGCUAACUACGUGCCAGCAGCCUCGGUAAUACGUAGGUGGCAAGCGUUGUCCGGAAUUAGUGGGUGUAAAGCGCGCGAAGGCGGAUCUGCCAGUCUGUCUUAAAAGUUCUGGGCUUAACCCCGUGAUGUGAUGGAAACUAAAGAUCUAGAGUAUCGGAGAGGAAAGUGGAAUUCCUAGUGUAGCGGUGAAAUGCGUAGAUAUUAGGAAGAACACCAGUGGCGAAGGCGACUUUCUGGACGAAAACUGACGCUGAGGCGCGAAAGCCAGGGGAGCGAACGGGAUUAGAAACCCCAGUAGUCC